RNAcentral lists this ribosomal RNA (200 nucleotides) under uncultured bacterium. RNAcentral describes it as "partial 16S ribosomal RNA". It matches the Rfam family "Bacterial small subunit ribosomal RNA", at positions 28 to 225 of the family's 1533-position model. The record is from RNAcentral.
GACGAACGCUGGCGGCGUGCUUAACACAUGCAAGUCGAACGAGGUUCAUGGAGCUUGCUCCAGAAGAUCUAGUGGCGAACGGGUGCGUAACACGUGAGAAACCUGUCCCGGACUUGGGAAUAACAGUCGGAACGACUGCUAAUACCGAAUACCUUCGGAUCGUCGCAUGGCGAACCGAAGAAAGCGUAUGCGGUUCGGGA